AGAAAAAAUUGGCGCGUAAAGGAAUCUUGCCUGGUAGGGGGGGAUACCUUCGAGGGAAACUCGAGCUAAUACCGCAUACGUCCUACGGGAGAAAGCGGGGGAUCUUCGGACCUCGCGCUACCAGAUGAGCCUAGGUCGGAUUAGCUAGUUGGUGAGGUAAAGGCUCACCAAGGCGACAAUCCGUAGCUGGUCUGAGAGGAUGAUCAGCCACACUGGAACUGAGACACGGUCCAGACUCCUACGGGAGGCAGCAGUGGGGAAUAUUGGACAAUGGGCGAAAGCCUGAUCCAGCCAUGCCGCGUGUGUGAAGAAAGUCUUCGGAUUGUAAAGCACUUUAAGUUGGGAGGAAGGGCAGUAAGCUAAUACCUUGCUGUUUUGACGUUACCGACUGAAUAAGCACCGGCUAACUUCGUGCCAGCAGCCGCGGUAAUACGAAAGGUGCAAGCGUUAAUCGGAAUUACUGGGCGUAAAGCGCGCGUAGGUGGUUUGAUAAGUUGGAUGUGAAAGCCCCGGGCUCAACCUGGGAAUUGCAUCCAAAACUGUCUGACUAGAGUAUGGCAGAGGGUGGUGGAAUUUCCUGUGUAGCGGUGAAAUGCGUAGAUAUGGGAAGGAACACCAGU
RNAcentral lists this ribosomal RNA (620 nucleotides) under Pseudomonas sp. LWEC9. Its description in RNAcentral is "bacterial SSU rRNA". It matches the Rfam family "Bacterial small subunit ribosomal RNA", at positions 95 to 713 of the family's 1533-position model. The record is from RNAcentral. Lineage: Bacteria; Pseudomonadati; Pseudomonadota; Gammaproteobacteria; Pseudomonadales; Pseudomonadaceae.